UUCCAUCCAUUUUUGGUUGGAUGGUGGAGGUGUUUUAUGGCAGUAAAUCUGCAGUACUGCUUUCUGGAUUAAUGCUGCCUUCACGUGCUAUUGGAAUUAUGGUAAAUACGAGUUCCCGAUGGCUGAGAGUAGGACGAGAUUCGUCACGGAUGCAGGAACGCUGCCAGGUACUCGAUUGGGUUUGGCGGUCUCUCUUUGGCAACCAAUGAAAGGCCCUGCAGCAGAAUGGGGACCACGGUUCUGUCAAGGUACACUCGGAUUGGCAGUGCCUGCAGGUCCACCCUUUGCCUGGAGAUCUCUGUGCUUGCCUUCUCAUUCUCCGUCAUCCUCUGGGUGCUUUCUGGCAGGCCGUGUUCUUUGCGAGAGUCUUCAGACCCUGGUUUCUGUCCCUCCAUGGUCUAAUUUGUUUAAUCUGAGGGGAUAAUGCUUGCAGGGUUGCGAGGGGAGCUGGAGCCGAUUGCAGCCGACAUUGGGUAGGAGGCAAACCCUGGACAGAUCACCAGUCUUUCAUCGGGUCAAAAUACAGACAAACAAUCACUCGCACUCACAUUCACAUUUAGAUUUAGACUCUUGACCCAACCACAAGCUGCAUGUCUUUGGACUGUGGGAAGAAGCUGGUGAACCCAGAUAAAACUCACACACACAGAACAGAAUAUAGUUUCAAAAUAUUUACCAAAACCCAACAGACCCAUCAGAGCUCAGGUUAGGUGGUGUGUGUUUGGUAUUGAAGGAUAGGCAGCUCUCUGUAUGGGUCAGAAGGACAGAAACUGUCCAUUCUCUCUCCAAAUAGAGAUGGUAUCUAUAAUAUUGCACAAUGUACUAAUGAAGCAAGUGCUGCUUUCCAGUAGCAAACACUGCUGAAGGGAUUUCCAAUUUUAUUCCAUUGGCAGACCUGCAUUUGCUUUAAAUGCUCAGAACCGCAGUAAGCAAUUCCCGGUAAAGCAUCACUAUGGAUGAAGAACCAGUGUUGUGAAACGGGAAAUCAUUUUUGCCACACAAACCUGCACUGUAAUGUGCAAAUGUCAGUCAGACUUUUGAGUUGCACUUACCUGUG
Solea solea (common sole) is the source of this 1054-nucleotide long non-coding RNA. RefSeq lists it as uncharacterized. The record is from RefSeq and is a predicted model, not a curated record. The transcript has 3 exons. Lineage: Eukaryota; Metazoa; Chordata; Actinopteri; Pleuronectiformes; Soleidae.